GGGCUCGUCUCCAGGCUGGUUUCCAGUUUUCCCAGAACAAGGAAGACGUCUGCAUCUGGAGAUGAAACGACAUCUGUGAUCUGUCACGCUUGUUUCUGAACGCAGGAGAUCCGGUUCAUCCGCCGGCGGAGCCGAUCUUUUCUCCACCGAGCAGAACGGACAGUCCUGGAUAAAACCUGCAAGACUUCGCCCUCUGGACCCGCGGCACGACAAACACCAAAAACUGUCUUUUCCAAAAGCAGCUGGGAUGUUUCAGUCAGGAGCUCCAGAUGAAGGAGACCGAGUGACUGCAUGACCCGGGUCGGCCCGCUCGUCCCUCUGCAGAACUGGGCUGCCAGUUCUUUACUCGUAAACCUUUAAAGGGGACCUAUUAUGAAAAACAGAUUUUUUCUUGCUUUAACAUAUAUAAAGUGGUCUCCCCUCAGCCUGCCAACUCAGAGAAGGAGGAAAGAAACCAAAUUCUGCAGUGUCUGUACAGCCGCCCGGAUGAUCGUCCAGUGUGAUGUGGAUCUACGAGCCAAUAAGAUUCUGCGCAUUUUCGUUACGUAACCAAAAUGCAAACCACAACUAUAAAACCGUGUAACUGCAUGUGA
Long non-coding RNA from Cololabis saira (Pacific saury), 593 nucleotides. RefSeq lists it as uncharacterized. The transcript has 3 exons. NCBI's taxonomy places the organism in Eukaryota, Metazoa, Chordata, Actinopteri, Beloniformes, Belonidae. The record is from RefSeq and is a predicted model, not a curated record.